This is a long non-coding RNA of Oncorhynchus tshawytscha (Chinook salmon), 381 nucleotides long. The record is from Ensembl. Lineage: Eukaryota; Metazoa; Chordata; Actinopteri; Salmoniformes; Salmonidae.
UGAUGUGGGGCUAGUCAGAGCACAGGGAGGUGGGGCUAGUCAGAGCACAGGGAGGAGGGGCUAGUCAGAGCACAGGGAUGUGGGGCUAGUCAGAGCACAGUGAGGAGGUGCCAGUCAGAGCACAGGGAGAAGGGGCUAGUCAGAGCAAAGGGAUGUGGGGCUAGUCAGAGCACAGGGAGGAGGGGCUAGUUAGAGCACAGGAAGAAGGGGCUAGUCAGAGCACAGGGAGGAGGGGCUAGUCAGAGCACAGGGAUGUGGGGCUAGUCAGAGCACAGGGAGGUGGGGCUAGUCAGAGCACAGGGAGGAGGAGGGACUAGUCAGAGCACAGGAAGGAGGGGCUAGUCAGAGGGCAGGGAUGUGGGGCUAGUCAGAGCACAGGGA